AGUCGAACGCUUCUUUUUCCACCGGAGCUUGCUCCACCGGAAAAAGAAGAGUGGCGAACGGGUGAGUAACACGUGGGUAACCUGCCCAUCAGAAGGGGAUAACACUUGGAAACAGGUGCUAAUACCGUAUAACAAUCAAAACCGCAUGGUUUUGAUUUGAAAGGCGCUUUCGGGUGUCGCUGAUGGAUGGACCCGCGGUGCAUUAGCUAGUUGGUGAGGUAACGGCUCACCAAGGCCACGAUGCAUAGCCGACCUGAGAGGGUGAUCGGCCACAUUGGGACUGAGACACGGCCCAAACUCCUACGGGAGGCAGCAGUAGGGAAUCUUCGGCAAUGGACGAAAGUCUGACCGAGCAACGCCGCGUGAGUGAAGAAGGUUUUCGGAUCGUAAAACUCUGUUGUUAGAGAAGAACAAGGAUGAGAGUAACUGUUCAUCCCUUGACGGUAUCUAACCAGAAAGCCACGGCUAACUACGUGCCAGCAGCCGCGGUAAUACGUAGGUGGCAAGCGUUGUCCGGAUUUAUUGGGCGUAAAGCGAGCGCAGGCGGUUUCUUAAGUCUGAUGUGAAAGCCCCCGGCUCAACCGGGGAGGGUCAUUGGAAACUGGGAGACUUGAGUGCAGAAGAGGAGAGUGGAAUUCCAUGU
Molecule: ribosomal RNA, 643 nt
Filed under: uncultured bacterium
Lineage: Bacteria
Description: bacterial SSU rRNA
Rfam family: Bacterial small subunit ribosomal RNA
Source: RNAcentral